This 110-nucleotide ribosomal RNA is filed under the name Erinaceus europaeus (western European hedgehog). The record is from RNAcentral. Lineage: Eukaryota; Metazoa; Chordata; Mammalia; Eulipotyphla; Erinaceidae.
GUCUACGGCCAUACCACCCUGAACACGCCCAAUCUCAUCUGAUCUCAGAAGCUAAGCAGGGUUGGGCCUGGUUAGUACUUAGACUGGAGAAAUUCAUAGCAUUUUAUUAC